GAUGAAAAUGACGUUUUUGGAAAAGCUGAAAAUACAUGCUUUCCAUUUCGCGAUUCAUC
This 59-nucleotide small RNA is filed under the name Salix viminalis (osier). The record is from RNAcentral. Lineage: Eukaryota; Viridiplantae; Streptophyta; Magnoliopsida; Malpighiales; Salicaceae.